AGUGAACGCUGGCGGUAGGCCUAACACAUGCAAGUCGAACGGCAGCACAGGAGAGCUUGCUCUCUGGGUGGCGAGUGGCGGACGGGUGAGGAAUACAUCGGAAUCUGCUUUUUCGUGGGGGAGAACGUAGGGAAACUUACGCUAAUACCGCAUACGACCUACGGGUGAAAGCAGGGGAUCUUCGGACCUUGCGCGAUUGAAUGAGCCGAUGUCGGAUUAGCUAGUUGGCGGGGUAAAGGCCCACCAAGGCGACGAUCCGUAGCUGGGCUGAGAGGAUGAUCAGCCACACUGGAACUGAGACACGGUCCAGACUCCUACGGGAGGCAGCAGUGGGGAAUAUUGGACAAUGGGCGCAAGCCUGAUCCAGCCAUACCGCGUGGGUGAAGAAGGCCUUCGGGUUGUAAAGCCCUUUUGUUGGGAAAGAAAUCCAGCUGGUUAAUACCCGGUUGGGAUGACGGUACCCAAAGAAUAAGCACCGGCUAACUUCGUGCCAGCAGCCGCCGUAA
This 506-nucleotide ribosomal RNA is filed under the name uncultured bacterium. Its description in RNAcentral is "partial 16S ribosomal RNA". It matches the Rfam family "Bacterial small subunit ribosomal RNA", at positions 29 to 523 of the family's 1533-position model. The record is from RNAcentral.